GGCGGCGAUAGCGGAUGGCAACCGCUGCCGCUGGUGAUCGACGGGCCGGACGGGCGGAUCGCCGCCGCCGCGCCGCUU
This 78-nucleotide transfer RNA is filed under the name Sphingobium chlorophenolicum. Its description in RNAcentral is "tRNA-OTHER". The record is from RNAcentral. Lineage: Bacteria; Pseudomonadati; Pseudomonadota; Alphaproteobacteria; Sphingomonadales; Sphingobiaceae.